UACGAAGGGGGCUAGCGUUGUUCGGAAUCACUGGGCGUAAAGUGCACGCAGGCGGAUUGAUAAGUCAGGGGUGAAAUCCCGGGGCUCAACCUCGGAAUUGCCUUUGAUACUGUCUGUCUUGAGUCCGGGAGAGGUGAGUGGAAUUCCUAGUGUAGAGGUGAAAUUCGUAGAUAUUAGGAAGAACACCAGUGGCGAAGGCGGCUCACUGGCCCGGAACUGACGCUCAUGUGCGAAAGCGUGGGGAGCAAACAGG
RNAcentral lists this ribosomal RNA (253 nucleotides) under uncultured bacterium. Its description in RNAcentral is "partial 16S ribosomal RNA". It matches the Rfam family "Bacterial small subunit ribosomal RNA", at positions 524 to 776 of the family's 1533-position model. The record is from RNAcentral.